AACCGGGGGCGUGUGUUGGCCUUGCACCGGAUGGCGACAUCUGUGUUGCGGGCCUUCUGCACGUUUCUCAUCCACAUUCACACCCCUGUGCACCUUUGGGAAAGGCGGGUUCGGGGUCGAAAGGCCCUUAGGACUUUUGCCGGCCCCAUUUUUCACAAACUCUGUAAAUGUCAUUUUGAAUGUCAGGCAGCCAUGCUGUCCUAAAACCAAUUGACAACUUUCAACAACGGAUCUCUUGGCUCUCGCAUCGAUGAAGAACGCAGCGAAAUGCGAUAAGUAAUGUGAAUUGCAGAAUUCAGUGAAUCAUCGAAUCUUUGAACGCACCUUGCGCCCUCUGGUAUUCCGGAGGGCAUGCCCGUUCGAGUGUCUUGACAUCAUCACGCUCUCAGGUUUUUCUUGGGAGAGGUGGAAUUUGGAGGCUUGCUGCUCAAGUAAUUGCGCGGCUCCUCUUGAAUGUAUCGGCUGUGCUUGAAAGCGCUCCUUGACGUUGUAGUUUUCCUCGUCCUGAGCUGCUGUUUGAACCGGCCUCGGCUUUGCCUCUGGAGUGGCGGCCAACACUUGACGAAUUUGACCUCGA
Molecule: ribosomal RNA, 577 nt
Filed under: Tubulicium vermiferum
Lineage: Eukaryota; Fungi; Basidiomycota; Agaricomycetes; Trechisporales; Hydnodontaceae
Description: eukaryotic LSU rRNA
Rfam family: 5.8S ribosomal RNA (bases 216-369)
Source: RNAcentral